Molecule: long non-coding RNA, 1937 nt
Organism: Bicyclus anynana (squinting bush brown)
Lineage: Eukaryota; Metazoa; Arthropoda; Insecta; Lepidoptera; Nymphalidae
Exons: 2
Source: RefSeq, a predicted model, not a curated record
GUUACGUGGAAUAUCCGGCCAAACAAAAACAGAUCUUCUUUUUUAAUGAAUAGAGUAGCAUUUCAAUAAACCAUCUCUAAGGUAUCUUUGGCACAUGCGCGUUUCUAGAACAGUUUUUCGACCGCUCGCCUAGGCAUUGUUUGUACACCUAAAGGGAAAUGGGAAAAUCAUUUAAAGCGUUUAAGUUUCUAGUGUAUUUUGUCACGAAAGCCUGUUAGUUUGGUGGGGGCAGUAUAAUGACUCCGAAGGACGCGGGCAAGUAUCGAUUAACUACGCAGUUGGAUUUGGAGGACACGUCUUAAGAUACGUCGUAAAUCAACGGUCUGAUAACACUGGCUUAUAUCUGUGUCUCUUCAAUUGAAUUCCUGAAAUAACAUGUUCUUCAAUCGUUUAUCUACAACCCGCGGCCAUUUUAAUAGUAUUGUGGAAGAAACGAGCCUUGAUCUCUUUCAGUUAAUGGGUUCAAUUUACCUCGGGAUCAUUUUUCUUCAGCAUUGCCCACUAAAAUCAACUUUUUUAAUGUUUCCAAGGAUACGCUGAAGACUGUUGAACCAGACGGCCUAUAAAGAAGCUUUACCAGCCCUUUUUUCCGCGUGAGUACACUAGUAAUGGGGUAAGUUUGUAAUGAAAUACUUAAGUAACUAAUUUAUAAAGUGAAUAUAUAAGUGAAUGAGUGAUAAAGUGACAAUGUGUAAGUGAUUGAUAAAUAAGUCUGUGCAAAGUAAAUUUUAGUUAACUAGUUUAGUUUUAGUGGAGUAUUUAAGUGAAUAAAAAUAUUGAAAAGUUAUUAGGGAUAUAGGGAGUAUUUCCCAUAACUAUGGGGUUAUAUUCUUUACCGAAAAGUAAUUUAUGCAAACACUUGUACAUGGAUUGUCUGAGUUAUUUGAAUUACUUUGUAUCAAAAUAUAAAACGUUUUUAUUUUUUAGUUAAAAAAAAUAUUACAUUAUGCAGUUCGACUCCUAUAAGUGGACUCGUCAACACCUUGAAGUUGUGGGAAAUACUUCCGAGCACCCUGUAUGUAAUAAUAAUUAAUGAAAUAGGUACGUGUUUGUGUGCGUGUGUGUGUGUGAAAAAGUGAUAAACUGUAAUGUGAAAGUUUCAGUUAUUAAGUGAUCGGAUACUAUUUAAACUCGGAUUGUUCUUUCUGUGUUCCGAGUAUUUGAUAAAUAUUAAAUUAUGAAGUAAACCAGUUACUAAACAGUGAACGAAAUAUUUAAAUGAUCUAAAGAAUUAUUUAAGCAAUCGGAAUUUUCGGUAUGACAAAAAAAAAUAUUGUGUUCUUAUUUACUUUAAUUCAAUUAAGUUUAAUAAUUUCGAAUAGGUUUCAGAAGAAUUAAAUAUGCGAUCAGAAUUUCUGGUGAAAAAUUAAAUUUUGUUGUUCUUUUUUAUUCAAUUUGAUUGUUUCAGAUGGCGCUAAACAAAAUACCGAUUAGCUUCGGCGAUGGAUUUAGUACAUGUUAAAUGAGGAUUGAGAAAUUUAGUAAAUUCUUAAGUAGAUAAGUAUUAAAUAUUUACAUAUUAAAUGAUUAAUAGAUAUAGUUAAAUAAUCAGAUUUUUCGUAGAGACUUGAAAUUUUAUUGUGUUCUAUUGUAUUGAAUUUAAUUAUGUCUAAUAAUUUGGAUCAAGUUUCAGGUUGAGCUGAACGAAGUACCGAUUAUCUGCGUAGAUGGAUUUGGUAAAUAUGUUUAAGUUUACAAUCUGCUAAUCUUAAAUCAUUAAUUUAAAUCUCUCUCUUCAGUUGAUGAGAAUGGUGAUCUCCAUGGCAAGUAGUCUCCUGAUAUCUCCUGAUGAAUGUCCCUACCUACCGAUUGACUACGGAGAUGGAUUUAGUAAAUUAUGAUUGAAGAUCGAGGAAUUUAGUAAACGCAUAAGUAGAUAAGUAUUGAGUAUUUACAUAUUAAAGUGAUCAAUUGAAAUAAUUAAGCAAUCAAACUUU